This is a non-coding RNA of Paramuricea clavata, 479 nucleotides long. NCBI's taxonomy places the organism in Eukaryota, Metazoa, Cnidaria, Anthozoa, Malacalcyonacea, Plexauridae. The record is from the annotation of a GenBank genome assembly.
CUGAAGCAAUUCAACUACUAGCUAACCUGCACUCGUCGUAUAUUUAGUAUAUUUAGUUAGAGGCGAUUGUCCCUUAUUCCACUGCUGGUGUUUGAGAAUUUAAUUAAGGAUUACGUAUUUUGUGAACAGAGUGAAGCAUAUUUUGCAUGGUAAAGUUUUAUUAAUAAUUGCCGGCUGAAAGAAGGAAUCCACCAAAUUGAGAAUAUCGUCCGGCUCCAUAUACAGCGUAGCUACUACUUCUCUCCAACCUAACCCAGAAUGUUUGGCCCUUUGUGGCUUUGUCAGAGUCACAAGAAUGGUUUUCGUUAGCUGAUCAUACUUUUUGUGGUUUGCAAGGAUUUGACUGACAGCAGUACUCCCUUUUAUCAACCUAACGUAAGAGCUGUAGCCAUUUUCCUGAAGGUAUGUGACAGUAAACUGGUAUAAACCUGCAAUAGGUGCAGUAAAUUUUCCAGUGCUUGGGUUAUAACCGUUUCCAA